UGAGUACGAGACGCUAAGGCGUCGAAGUAGUGGAUGUCAUACUUCCAAGAAAAGCUUGCACUGUCAUAAAUAAAAGACGCCUGUACCAUAACCAACACAGGUGGGUAGGUAGAGUAUACUAAGUGCGCGAGAUAACUCUCUCUAAGGAACUCGGCAAAAUAACUCCGUAACUUCGGGAGAAGGAGUGCCUUAUUCGUAAGGCUGCAAUAACAAGAUCCAAGCAACUGUUUAUCAAAAACACAGGUCUCCGCUAAGUCGUAAGACGAUGUAUGGGGGCUGACGCCUGCCCAGUGCCAGAAGGUUAAAGAAGUCGGUUAGCAUUAGCGAAGCUGGUAACUGAAGCCCUGGUGAACGGCGGCCGUAACAAUAACGGUCCUAAGGUAGCGAAAUUCCUUGUCGGGUAAGUUCCGACCCGCACGAAAGGCGUAAUGAUUUGGAUACUGUCUCGGAGAGGGGCUCGGUGAAAUAGACUUGUCUGUGAAGAUGCGGACUACCUGCACCAGGACAGAAAGACCCUAUGAAGCUUUACUGUAACUUGAAAUUGAAAUUGGACUUUAUUCGCGCAGUAUAGGUGGGAGGUGUUGAUUAUAAUCUUGCGGGAUUAUUGGAGCCAUCAGUGAGAUACCACUCUUGUAAUGUUAGAUUUCUAACUUUGAAUCAUUAUCUGGUCAAAGAACAGUUUCAGGCGGGCAGUUUGACUGGGGCGGUCGCCUCCUAAAUGGUAACGGAGGCGUACAAAGGUUUCCUCUGAACGGGUAGAAAUCGCAUCUAGAGUGUAAAGGCAUAAGGAAGCUUGACUGUGAGACCUACAAGUCGAGCAGGGACGAAAGUCGGUCUUAGUGAUCUGACGGUACUGAGUGGAAAGGCCGUCACUCAACGGAUAAAAGUUACUCUAGGGAUAACAGGCUGAUCUCCCCCAAGAGUUCACAUCGACGGGGAGGUUUGGCACCUCGAUGUCGGCUCAUCGCAUCCUGGGGCGGUAGUACGUCCCAAGGGUUGGGCUGUUCGCCCAUGAAAGCGGUACGCGAGCUGGGUUCAGAACGUCGUGAGACAGUUCGGUCCGUAUCCGGUGUAGGCGUUAGAAUAUUGAGAGGAGCCUUCUUUAGUACGAGAGGACCGAGAAGGACAUACCUCUGGUGUACCAGUUAUCGUGCCAACGGUAAACGCUGGGUAGCUAUGUAUGGAGUGGAUAACCGCUGAAAGCAUCUAAGUGGGAAGCCCACCUCAAGAUAAGUAUUCC
RNAcentral lists this ribosomal RNA (1240 nucleotides) under metagenome. RNAcentral describes it as "bacterial LSU rRNA". It matches the Rfam family "Bacterial large subunit ribosomal RNA", at positions 1564 to 2814 of the family's 2925-position model. The record is from RNAcentral.